Lutzomyia longipalpis is the source of this 4418-nucleotide RNA transcript. RefSeq lists it as uncharacterized. The record is from RefSeq and is a predicted model, not a curated record. NCBI's taxonomy places the organism in Eukaryota, Metazoa, Arthropoda, Insecta, Diptera, Psychodidae. The transcript has 3 exons.
UUGACAGUUUGUUUUCUUUUUGACAGCAAAAAAAAAGUUCGGUGAAAUUAUUAAAAAAAUAUAAAAUAAACAAAUAAGGAAAGGGGGAAACUAAUGAAAGGAAGAAAAAGGGAGGAUGGAAAAGGACAGUGAGGAAAAGAAAGCAGCGUGGACGGAGGCGGACAUGACGGCGGCGUUGGAUGCAAUUCGCGAGGAGCAAAUGAAUCUUGUGAAAGCGAGCGUCCAAUUUGGCAUUCCGGCCUCGACGCUGUGGCAGCGGGCAACGCGACUGGGUAUCCCGGUGCCGAAGAAUGGUGUAAAGACCAAGACGUCCAAUAAGGAUGGGCUGGCGGAGGCGGUGGUGUUGCUGAAAAAUGGGGAGAUUUCCGUGAAUAAGGCGAGUAAAGUGUUUGGAAUUCCGCCGUCGACGCUGUACAAGAUUGCCAAGAGGGAGAAAAUACAGCUGUCGCCGCCAUUCAACACGUCCGCCACGUCCUGGACGCAGGACACCCUCGCCACGGCAAUGGACGCCAUCCGGAAUGGGCACAUGUCGGUUCACAUGGCGAGCACAAAGUUCAAAAUACCGUCCGGCACGCUGUAUGGGCGCUGCAAGCGCGAGGGGCUGGAACUAUCGCGCACCAGCCCGGCUCAGUGGUCACCCAAGGACCUCAAGGAGGCACUCGAUGCCAUCCGAUCGGGGCAAAUGUCGAUAAAUCAGGCGUCGGAGCACUUUAAAAUCUCCUACAGCGCCCUGUACAAGCGGGUCAAGCCAAAUCUCGCGCGUCACGAAGGUCACACCGGUGGGUAUGAGGGUGAGCGCGCCGACACAAGUAGUGCACUCACGGAAACAUCGGAAUCCUCCACGGAGGUGACGGAGAAUGCGGCGGCUGGUGGUGGGUGCGAUGACGUGCGCAAAGGCAAUAGGAUUAUCGAGCAGAAUGGGUGCUUCAUCACGGUAUUGGAUCCGUGCCACGUGGAAGAGAAACCAAUGCCCGUUGUACCCAUGGAGCAUCACCACCAUCACCAGCACAUGGAUGUACCGCAUCAAGCUGCCGACAAUCGCCACGACGGUGGCUACAGGGUCAACGGGAGUCCCAUUGGGAUGGGCUACUUGGACUUUGCGCCGGAACCACCCGCUCCAAGUGCCAUCCCCGUCACGGGAUACCUUGACUACUCUGCCCCAGAACCCAAAUACAGCACAAGUGCUGCAUAUCCUUAUCCGUCAAAUGGAUACGGAAACUUGAGACCACUGGAUCCAAUGGAGGGUGUACCACAAAUUCACAAUCAUCAUCAACUUCCUCAGUAUGUCCAGCAGCAGCAUCCUGGCAUGCAACCCAUGGGGACGCCCAUGCAUCACCAGAUGCCGCAAAUGAGAGCUUACACGGAACCAGUGGAUUAUCUCAAAAUGUCACAUGACACACUUCCGCCGCAUCAAGUUCCGGCCGAACACAGCGAUGUGAACACCUUCAAUCACCUCUAGUGUGUGUGCGUGUGUGUGUGGGUGCGUUUUAACCCCAAUGCGACGUCAGGGCCGUUUUUUCUUAGGACAGCGUGCGGAUAUAUUUACAUUUUUGGCAAAAUAUUGCGCCAAAAUCAAAAUGAAACAAGUAACCACCACCACCCCCCAGUUCAUCACCCCCCAGCACCGACUUUUCUUCUCGAACCCCCCUCACGGAAAACUUCACAACAACAACAACAACAUGGACAAAAACCUUUUCGCGCAGCAACCAAAGGGAGGCGGAAGACGGUACAAAUUUCAACUGACGACAAAAAAUACCAAAAAAAAAUGAACAAUCACCUUUAGAAGAAAAAAAAUUUUCCACAAUUUUCACAAACACAGAAAAUAUUUAAGAAAACAAACAAAAAAUUAGACACUUUUAUGAAAAAAGAAAACAAACAUUAAACACUCACAACAAAAACACUUUCUUAAACAACACAACACACACACUUUUAUUAUUAUUAAAAGAAAAAAAUUAAUUCUAGAAAAAAAAAGAUGAAUAUUGAGUAGAAGAGUUAAAAACAUGAGGUUUUUACGUAUAAAUGUCACUUAACAAGUAAAAUAUUAAUUACAUUUUUAUAGCACUUAAUGAAAGAAGAAAAAAAUUCAUUGGCGAGGCAUCAAGUUUUAUGAGUUGAUAUUUUUUUCUACAAAAAAAUUCAUUUUAAAAAGAAAAAAUCAUCCACGACAAAAUAGAAAAAAAGAAUUAAAACACUUUUACGUGAUUUUUCGUAUUUGUAUUUUUUUGUUCUUCAAACUAUUGAUUUAUUGGCGUAUUUUUAGUGGAAAAGGGGAGCAUAAAUUGACAAUUUAAUCCCCCUUCUCUUAUUGAAAAAGAUAAAAAUUAAAAAAAAAAACAUUACAUUUCUAUUACAAAAAUUAAAAAAGAAAAAUAUUACAUUAGAUAAUAUUUUAGAUGAUUUAAAAAAAUUAAAUCAAUCAUUUAUAUUUUUUUUCUUGUCUGGAAAACAUCUUUUUGCGAUUUUUCUAAUUUUUAUUUUUAAUGCUAUGAAGGAGAAGUGAAAGAAAGUUUAGAAAAUCAAAAGAGAAAAAUAACAAAACAAAAAAAUACGAGAAUCUCGUUUUUUUAUUUAAAAAAAAAACAAAAAUAAAAGGAAAAAUUUCGAUGGUUGAAGCAAAAAACAAAAAAAAAAUAUUAUCAUGUAUAGAAAAGAGAAAAAAAAUUGAAAAUAUAGUGAAAAAAUUUCUUUAGUAAACAAAAAAAUGAAGUAAUUGUGUCAUGUGUGCAAUAAUUGUCACUUAAAUUUUGUUUCUUCAACUUAAUCUGAUUUUUUAUUACAUUUUUAUUGUGUUUUAUUUUGCAAAUCUUAUAGGUUACAGAGAACUUAUUAUAUCAAGGGAACAUUGUAAAUUAAAGGAAGAUUUGAAUGAGUUUUAAUUUUUUUUUAAUAAUUCUUUAAGAGGUGCAACGCGUGACAAAAGUUCUUUCCUACAAAACUCAUAAUUUAGUGUAGUCUGUUUAAAUUAACAUUGCACUGUAGCUCCACUCCGCGAAUUGGAGCCAAUGGAAGUCUCUAACCGAAUUUAUCAGCCAAUUAGAAAGCUCUACGUCAUUGAUUCUUCUUCUUAUUAAUUUACAUUUCAUUUUAUAAUUAAUUGUUUGUAAUUAUUGUUGAUUUGAAUAGUUCAUUGAGAAAAUAAUUAAAUGAUCUUGUAAUAGAAAAUUUAAUUUUUAAGAGAGAAAAUGACUAGGAGAAACUUAGAGAGAGAUAGAGAGAGAAACCGUGUACGCUUAUUGGCUAGGCACGCAAACAGACUCUCUUUCUCACUCUAUUCGUGUUUCUUCUCAUCUUUUUGCUCUCUUAAAAAUUUAAUUUUCUACGUUAAGCAAUUCAAUUAAUUUAAUGUACUAAACAAUGAGUCCUAAAGGAGAAAACACCCUAAAAUGCAAAAUCUAUAAUCCAAUCUUAAAAAAAAAUAUUAAAUAAUAUUAAAACUCAUUCCAAGCCAUUUAAUUUGCAAUGUUCCCUUGAGAGAGAGAAAAACAGAAGAAUUACUUGGAAGCAAAAAUGAGAAAACAAUCUUUGUUUGUUUUUUUUCUUUUAACUAAAGCCUCAACUACAUUUUUUAUAGUAAUCAAAUUUUUAAUAAUUUCAAUUGCGUUAUUUUAUUAUCAUCUCUUAGCUUCUAUAAUACCUUUUAAAUGAGAAAAAAAUAAUACCACUAUUAUGCUCUAGUUAUUACAUUUUAAUAUUAAAAAAAAAGAAGGAGAAGAUGAGGAAGAGAAAUUAUUCAUUAUUAAAUUUAUUAGCAAAAAAAAAGUGAAAACUUAAACGUUAAAUCACAAAAAUAAUUCUUGUUGCAUUUUUUCUUCAUUUUUUAAAUUCUUUUUAGAAUUUUUAAAAUUCCUUCCCCCCUAAAAAAUAAAUUUUCUCUUUGCAAAAUCAAAAUUUUUAAUAAACUUAAACAAUUUGUUUUUCUUUGCUAUUGAUCUUUUUAUCUCAUUUUUAGAGUUAAAAAAAAAUUUAUAUAAAUAUAUCUAUUAUAAUAAAUCAAAAGUAUUUUUUUCCUCUCUUUAUUUUGACUUCUGUUACACGUUUUUAUUCUUAUUAUACAAUUUAAACAAAAAAAAAUGAAAUGAGAAAUGAGAAGAGAAAAAAAUAUUGAAAUACAAAAAAAAUCUAUGAAAAAAAUGAAAAUAAAAAAACUGAAAAAUUAGCGUAAUUAAAAAUAAGCCUAUAGAUUAAAUGUGAAGAAAUAUUAUUAUUAUAUAUUAUAUAAAAAUUAUGAAAGAAAUAAAGGAAUGCAUUUCAAUGGAUUUUACACAAAAAAAAAAAACAAUAAAGAGAGACAGCAUUUCUUUCUUUCGCUGGCCUUUUUUUGGGCUUAUAAAAAAUAUUAUUUAAAAAAAAAACUAAAGCAGCUGAGAGAUCUACAACAUUGCACGUUGUGAGGGUCAAAAAGAGAAUCGAGAACCACA